UUCACUCGAAUAACUGUAUACAAAACGCUAGAAAAACGGGCUCCGAAGUUUUGUAGUAUUAUUUACAAACACUUAUCCAAUAUUCUAAUA
Non-coding RNA from Caenorhabditis elegans, 90 nucleotides. NCBI's taxonomy places the organism in Eukaryota, Metazoa, Nematoda, Chromadorea, Rhabditida, Rhabditidae. The record is from Ensembl.